This 258-nucleotide long non-coding RNA is filed under the name Elaeis guineensis (African oil palm). RNAcentral's name for it is "long non-coding RNA (EGUI_LNC056965)". The record is from RNAcentral. Lineage: Eukaryota; Viridiplantae; Streptophyta; Magnoliopsida; Arecales; Arecaceae.
CUAUGCACACUUCACCAUAUCCAAAACAUCUCAUAUAAGGAUCAAAAAAUUAAGCUAGAGAAUGAACUAAAAUAUGGAUUCAUAUACACAAGGUAUCAUGGUAAUCUCAGCUCUAAGGAUCACUUGUACAACUCCUACUAGAGAGCAACCAGCUGACAUGAAAAUAAGACUCCAUCAGAUAUUUUCUCAUAGGUCAAUUUAGUGAACUCAUUCUCUAAUGAGCAUCCACAUCCUUGUAUUAUUGUCACACAUAAGUGG